ACUCCUACGGGAGGCAGCAGUGGGGAAUAUUGGACAAUGGGGGAAACCCUGAUCCAGCCAUGCCGCGUGUGUGAAGAAGGCCUUCGGGUUGUAAAGCACUUUCAGUGGGGAGGAAAGGUUGAUGGUUAAUACCUAUCAGCUGUGACGUUACCCACAGAAGAAGCACCGGCUAACUCCGUGCCAGCAGCCGCGGUAAUACGGAGGUGCAAGCGUUAAUCGGAAUUACUGGGCGUAAAGCGUGCGCAGGCGGUCUGUUAAGCGAGAUGUGAAAGCCCCGGGCUCAACCUGGGAACUGCAUUUCGAACUGGCAGACUAGAGUCUUGUAGAGGGGUAGAAUUCCAGGUGUAGCGGUGAAAUGCGUAGAGAUCUGGAGGAAUACCGGUGGCGAAGGCGGCCCCUGGACAAAGACUGACGCUCAGGCACGAAAGCGUGGGAGCAAACAGGAUUAGAUACCCUGGUAGGUCAGUC
This 468-nucleotide ribosomal RNA is filed under the name uncultured bacterium. RNAcentral describes it as "bacterial SSU rRNA". It matches the Rfam family "Bacterial small subunit ribosomal RNA", at positions 335 to 800 of the family's 1533-position model. The record is from RNAcentral.